UGGCUUGUGAUUGGGGAAAAAUGUUUGCUCCACAAGCGGGAACUUCUCAGGACCCAGCGAAUGGAAGAUCUUGAUGAGCUGAGAGAACUAGGACAGAAUAUGACAGAACAUUGGUCAACCACUGCUUCCUGGUAUGGCGAAACAUCCCACUUGAUCCCAGGCCUCAAGCACCUAUCUGCUCCAGUAGCUGCUCCCUGUCCCCGGGAUAAAGACCAGAGUCCUUGACUGGACAUUCGUCCGCUCCAGUCUCCUCCAUCAUCCACCUUACUCCGCAGCCCUGGGAGCUCAUUCUGUGCCCAGCACUGUGCUGGCCAACACACACAGCUAUAUAUACAUGGCAUGUAAACAUCCAUGUGUUGUUCAGGGGCAACGCACUGAACAUGUGAGACCAGGUCUGGAGGAAAGACAGCCUGUGGGCAGAUGGCUGAGAUAACAACAUCUUGCUGGAGGGAAGUGAGGGGCUUGUGGGACCUGGAAGAGGAAUAGACAGGGGGUGAUGACGACUUCAGGAGCAGAUGAUAUAAGAGAAGGAGGAAGGGCAUUCCAGUGUGCAGUGAGACAGCUGUGUGCUAGAGAUGCUCAGUGGACAAUGAGCUGGGAAUUCACCCAUCAGGCAAAGGGAGCUGUCGGUGAACAAAAGCAGAGAAGAGCAAGGUAGACUCUGAUCAGAAAGAAGAAAUCAGGUGCAGUGUAAGGCCUAAUGUGGAUGCCUAGUGGCUGGAAGAGGAGCUAAGUCUUGUGCCAAACUGACUUUGGGGUAAACUCAAUACUGAGAGCUCACAAGAACAGAACAGAUAACUUAGGAACUCUCCGCAUCAUGCCAGGAUUGGAAGACUCUUGGGCUGUAGCCCGCUGCUGUGGUGCAACAUGCUGUCAGGCACUGCGGCAGACACACAAGUUACUGGGUCCUCACGAUUGUCCUGGGAUGUGGGUGCUGCUGCCGUCAAUUCCGUCUCACAGACGAGCACCCGGAGGCUCGGGAAGACCAGGUCACUUGCUCACAAAGACACACUGCAGAUGGGAACACACUGCAAGUCAGAGAUGUUGUGAACUUCCUCAAAUCACAAAGCUGGGAAGCAGGAGAGCCACGUUUGAACACAGGUCAUCUGACUCCAAGUCCACAUGCUCCACCCUCCAUCACACGGCUCCAGGGAGCUUCACACAGUGUUUCAUUCACACCGCCAAGGAUCCACCUGUUUCUGGAUUCCUUACUUCUAAGUCCAGAGAAAAUCAAGACUCACAGUAGGUCUUUCUCGGAAGCGGCAGUCGAUGCUGGAGAGGAAAUCAAGGACAACAGACAAUUAAAUGGUAGAGACGGGACAGGUGAUGCAUUGCUGGGAGAUCAGCAGGUGCUCCAGGCAGUGUCAAGUGCGGGGCCAACGGCUUAGUGACUUUGCAUCACUGGAGAAGCAUAAUAAUUCCCUCAAUAUGCAGAAGCCUGCAGUGGCCAGAAAAGAUUUUGACUGGGCUUUGCCUGGGGCCUAAGUUAAUAUGCAGAAGCCUCGUUAUUCUCAGCCACCUGACUGCUAUUUUGUCACAGUCCCUUUUCUGAAAGAGCCAGGCUGACUAAGGGACAGUGUUGCUAACUUUGGUCACAUGUUGACCGACCCAUCAAAGCCAGAGGAGACCCCAGUCAUGCCUGGGAAGUCUCUGGACUUCUGAUAUCCAUGCCCACCAGCAGAAACUUCAGGUGUCCUUGGAACUUCUCCCACUUCUCACACUCCUUCCCCAUCCGCCUCCACCUCUGAAAAUACCAACUCAGGUACCAAAUCUGUGGGAAGGAGACCAAGAGGACUGAGAUCCUCAGCCAUAACAGGUGUCCUGAGGAAACGCAGAGCGGAGUCCAUGCUCCUGAAGGCUGUGGACCACCACUGUGCAACAAGGACAGAACCGAGGAGACGUGCAUGCCAGGCAGAUGCGGGGCCUUGAAUGGGCCAUAUGGAAGGACUUGAGGAAUUAGCGAUGCUUCCCGCCAGCCCGAGGGCUGCAAGAAAUUAGUCCAGGCCGAAAAGAAACUAGGUGGUGGCCGACCAGGAAUCUGGCGAGGAGAGGACAACAGGAGGCCGCAGAGGGGUCGGUGGGGGCCGCACAGCAGCCGCCAGCCACACGGCGAGUAGGCAGUGGGGAGGGGCCCGGCGGGGUUUACACACAGCCAGGCUCUCUGGUGAGUCGGGGGCUGU
Molecule: long non-coding RNA, 2180 nt
Organism: Cervus elaphus (red deer)
Lineage: Eukaryota; Metazoa; Chordata; Mammalia; Artiodactyla; Cervidae
Exons: 4
Source: RefSeq, a predicted model, not a curated record